AUUGAACGCUGGCGGCAGGCCUAACACAUGCAAGUCGAACGCGAGGGGGACGGGAGAGUAUAGUGUGGGAAACUGCUAGAGGGUGGGGGAUAACCACUGGAAACGGGAGAUAAUACCUCAUACUAGCGGAUGGGCCGAGAGGGGAGUAGUUAGUUGGUGGGGUAUAGGCUCACCUAGGCGACGAUCCAUAGCGAGUCGGAGAGGAUGAGCAGCCACACUGGAACUGAGACACGGUCCAGACUCCUACGGGAGGCAGCAGUGGGGAAUAUUGCACAAUGGGCGCAAGCCUGAUGCAGCCAUGCCGCGUGUAUGAAGAAGGCCUUCGGGUUGUAAAGUACUGUCAGCGGGGAGGCGUUACCCGCAGAAGAAGCACCGGCUAACUCCGUGCCAGCAGCCGCGGUAAUAC
Molecule: ribosomal RNA, 406 nt
Filed under: uncultured bacterium
Lineage: Bacteria
Description: partial 16S ribosomal RNA
Rfam family: Bacterial small subunit ribosomal RNA
Source: RNAcentral